RNAcentral lists this ribosomal RNA (327 nucleotides) under Triticum aestivum (bread wheat). RNAcentral's name for it is "partial small subunit ribosomal RNA". The record is from RNAcentral. Lineage: Eukaryota; Viridiplantae; Streptophyta; Magnoliopsida; Poales; Poaceae.
AUGGCGGCUUCCCAACCCAACAAACCAACAAUGAAGGAGGAUGGCGAAGAUGAGAUGGCGGGAUGGUGGGAGAAGGCUGCGAAGAAGCUUAGAGAGGAGGAUGCAGCCAAGCUAAAGAAGAAGAAGGAAGAGGAGCUUGAGGAGAAGAGGAGGGAAGAAGAGAGAGCGUCAAAUGCGAUGCGCGCUAGGGAGCAAGCAUUGGUGAGGAAAUGUGAGGAGGCACAUAAGAAGCGUCAAAAGGAUUUUGAAGAAGGAACCAUGAAGCUUUGGGCAAUUGCAGCUGAAAAAAAAGAGGCUCCGGAGGCUCUGGAGGAACCAUACCGAUAA